UGUUUAUUUCUCCCCUCUACAUGACCCCUCAAUUACAUGUCUUUCUGGUGGUAUGUGACCAUACAUUAGCUUGUUAUACCUUUCUGCAUGCUUCUACUGUUAUGCUUCUCUUAUCUUCCCUUGAUGUUUAUAUUAAUGCUUUCAUGUUAUCCCAUUCCCCUUAAUCCCCUUGCAUGUGAGUAUGUUCUAAGUUAAGGUACCAUCCCAUUG
RNAcentral lists this long non-coding RNA (210 nucleotides) under Nicotiana benthamiana. RNAcentral describes it as "long non-coding RNA (NBEN_LNC008264)". The record is from RNAcentral. Lineage: Eukaryota; Viridiplantae; Streptophyta; Magnoliopsida; Solanales; Solanaceae.